CUUCGGACCUCGCGCUAUGAGAUGAGCCUGCGUUAGAUUAGCUAGUUGGUAGGGUAAAGGCCUACCAAGGCGACGAUCUAUAGCUGGUCUGAGAGGACGAUCAGCCACACUGGGACUGAGACACGGCCCAGACUCCUACGGGAGGCAGCAGUGGGGAAUAUUGGACAAUGGGCGCAAGCCUGAUCCAGCAAUACCGCGUGUGUGAAGAAGGCCUUAGGGUUGUAAAGCACUUUCAAUUGGGAGGAAAACCUGUCGGUCAAUACCCGGCAGCUUGACAUUACCUUUAGAAGAAGCACCGGCUAACUCCGUG
This 310-nucleotide ribosomal RNA is filed under the name uncultured bacterium. Its description in RNAcentral is "bacterial SSU rRNA". It matches the Rfam family "Bacterial small subunit ribosomal RNA", at positions 202 to 507 of the family's 1533-position model. The record is from RNAcentral.